Long non-coding RNA from Drosophila eugracilis, 2160 nucleotides. RefSeq lists it as uncharacterized. The transcript has 2 exons. The record is from RefSeq and is a predicted model, not a curated record. Lineage: Eukaryota; Metazoa; Arthropoda; Insecta; Diptera; Drosophilidae.
AGUUUCAGUUUGAAAUUUGACGCCGACCGCGGCGGAACGUUGAGCGUUCUGCUCCCAGAGAAACCAGCGGCCAUCGCCCGCCGCUGCUUCUGCUGGCGUCGCAGCGGCAGAGCAGCCAUUAUCCUGCAGGAGGCUGCGACCUGAUCCCUGGGCCAUCAUCUAUUAAUCUGUCUGCGAAUUAAACGAAAAACUGGCCAACUGGCCAACGAACCCAAAAACACUCUAAAAACUCGGUGCAAAAGUGUUGAAAAAUCAAAGAAAUUGCAAUUCUCAAAUCGAAUUCAUUGAAAAACUUCGAAACUUGUUAAGUAAAAUGGAUUUAAGGCUGAGCUCUACCUUCUCAUUCCCAGCAGGACACACGAACUACAUCGGAGCAUCUGUCGGAGCAGCACCUCUCACUCUCUUCUUCCGCCCAUUACUCAGCAGUCUUCAAAGGGCUUACUGCUGAAUCAUCGCCACCAUCAUCAUCGUUACCGAUUUACCAAUUCACCGAUUUGGAGCAGGAACGAGACGGCUUAAGGAAGUGGCGCCCAAGACAGGGAACCUCGACUGGCGGCUGGCGACUGGCGACAGCGAUCCAGGUCGAGAGCUUAGCGAGGCGACUCACUGAUUGAUUUCAGUGCAAACAGAAGACAACGAAGUUAACACCCCCGCCCAUGGGCAGAUCUAUCUAUCAUUCAUUAAAUGUGUUUCUUGUCUAUCCAAUUUCCAGGCCUCGCACCCAUUUUAUCGACGUGAAGAAAGUGCCGUAAUCCGCGGGCAAUCAAUUAGAUACAAGCUCACUAAGCACUCCCAAAGACAUCGCAGCCGUAUCUUAUCUUAUCGCCGCUUCUUCCGAUAAGGUCGGGCCUUACUUUCCGCACUCUGCGUUUUUUCGGACUACUGCCUAAUCUCGGGCCACUCGGUGAGGUCUUGGCUUCAGUUUGGUUUCCAGAGGCGAGGGCGAAGACAACACGGAGCUGGCUUCUGCGCUGGCAAAGGAAGGGCUUCCGUGACUUUGCACGGACUCGGGCACGGAUAUGGACACGGAGACCUCGCGAAUGCCUCGAAUUAAUUGGCAGGCCACGGCGAGCUUUGUAAUCACAUUUAUGGGUCAUUCCAUAAUUUCGAAGGAAUAGAGGAACCCGUUGUAUAGCCGCCAGCCAUCGUCGCAUCACGUGUGGCACGAUAAAUAUAAUUUUCCCGAGGCGCAUGUAAUUGCCGCUCCGCCUAAAUUACCCCGCCUUGUACACACACAUUGUAUAUGUUUAUUAACAAUUUCACUUUUUUGCAGCAGUGAUUGCUCACCUGAGCUCAUUCAGCCGCCUGCGACUGUUAGGUCUCCUUCAGUUUGCUCCACGUCUACCCUGUAGAUCCGAAUUUGUUUUACUCUAGCUUUAAGGACAAAUUCGGUUCUAGAGAGGUUUGUGUGGUUCAAUGUUCAUCGAUAGCCGAAUACGGAAGUGAAAUCAAAAAUAAGUGAAAAAGUGAAUUAUGUAUAUUAGAGCUCAUUCGCUUGCUUGACUUGAAUUUGAGUUUGUGUAUAAGAUAAGAUUUCGCUGUCCUAGUAAAGUACUCAAAGAUGAAUUUCUGCAUAGUUUCAACUUGCAGCUACUCUUCUUUUUUAAAUUAAGGAAAUUAAAACUUGUAUGAAAUGUUAACAGAGUGGAACCUAUUUAGGGAUGACUCACUGUACAAAAAUCUAAUUACUGUUGCCAAGUAAUACGUUUCCACUGCUUACCAUAAAAGCCAUGAUAAUGAAUUGCUGUCUUGACACAAUUUUCUUUGGCUUACAUUUAUAGAUAAGAGCACUGGGCCUUAAAGUUUCACUUUUCAAUGCCAAUGAUUCAAAGGCAAAAGAUUGUUAAGCAUUAUUAGUUAUUUUUAAUAAUCUAAGAAUUUUGAUAGCUUAAAAUUGUAAAAAACGAGAAAAACAAAUUUCUUACUUCCAUUCUUUAGUAAGUAGGAAGGCGUGUUUAUUAAGCUAAAUAUAAGAUAAAAUUGUAAAGUGUGCUCUAUGAUUAAUUUUUAGUUCAGUGUAGCUGUAAGUAUCUUCUGAAUUAAGGAACCUAGUCUGUCUCAAGAAUGCGUACACUGUCUUCUUGUUUGUUUUUACUUUAAAGUAAAGAGCUUGUAACAUCAGAAAAAUGUAAUAAAAUGUUUUACCUUUUUAAACCCCUA